This 216-nucleotide ribosomal RNA is filed under the name Glomeromycotina sp. RNAcentral's name for it is "partial small subunit ribosomal RNA". The stretch from base 40 to 216 matches the Rfam family "Eukaryotic small subunit ribosomal RNA", at positions 686 to 864 of the family's 1831-position model. Lineage: Eukaryota; Fungi; Glomeromycota. The record is from RNAcentral.
GGGUCAGUAGGUUGGUCGUGCCACCGGUACGUACUGGUCUCACUAAUUCCUCCUUCCUGAAGAACCGUAAUGCCAUUAAUUUGGUGUUGCGGGGAAACAGGACUGUUACUUUGAAAAAAUUAGAGUGUUUAAAGCAAGCUAACGCUUGAAUACAUUAGCAUGGAAUAAUGAAAUAGGACGAUCGACCCUAUUUUGUUGGUUUCUAGGAUUGACGUA